AAGAGAGAAAAGAGUGCAAAGAAAAAAAAGAAAAGAAAACCAAAAAAGGAGAAGCCCAAUACCUGCCCAUGCCUUCUGCCAUGCCCUGCGUGUCCCUGCUGACAUCCACCCCUCACCACCUCACUCACCUUUGCUCUUUCUUCUUAGAUGCUUGCCAUGUGGCGCACAUCCAAGCCUUCUCCAUGCUUAUUUAAAGGCUCUCUUUGACGCGAAAGCCAUCACGAAGGAUAUCCUAAUAAAAGAAGAAGACGCACAUGACUCUAAAGUCAUUGACGAACUAGGCCCACUGGAAAAACAAAACUAGUUGCUUGUAGGCCCCAUCACCCAAAGUCGGGCCUACAAGCUUCAAGGAAUUUUCAAUCUGCUAGUCCAAGAUUGGGUAAGCGACAUGAUCAAUGAUGAAGUAUAAAGGG
RNAcentral lists this long non-coding RNA (413 nucleotides) under Carica papaya (papaya). Its description in RNAcentral is "long non-coding RNA (CPAP_LNC013702)". The record is from RNAcentral. Lineage: Eukaryota; Viridiplantae; Streptophyta; Magnoliopsida; Brassicales; Caricaceae.